UGAGACAGUCGUGAUCAACACAGCAACGUGGUUCUGGUACGAGCUCGUACAACUGGUCAGCAUUUCCAACUGCAUCUUACUCGGCUCAAUACCAUGGUCGAUAGGUUUUCCUUUGCCGCAAAUGCCGCAUGACAGCAGAGUUUGUAAUCUUCGUGCUUUUUAUGCCUCAAUAUGUCGUCCAUGUCGACUAUUAGCUGCAAAUCGUUCCGCGUUCUUUUUACAUACACUUCCUGCGCCACAAUUCCUAGAGAGGUUCUGUGCGUGUGAAGAUCUAUGUACGCACGUCUAUGAAGACUACACGCGAGAGCUAGCGCAGAAAAAAGCCCAAAGCGAGAGAAAUAGAGGAAGGUGAUCGAUCAAAAGUUUGCUCGCCUCCAGCAAUUCAAUGACGAGGUGUUCCUUGAGAAUUCAACAGGUCACCACAUUUUGUAUGAACCAUUCCCCCCUCGCUUGAACGGACCUUGUUUACGAUACUGUCGACAUUCAACCGUCACCUAAUAUACACGAACGAACCGACCAUCCGUCGGUUACUUCUUUGUUGGUCACGCUCACCACCCAACAUAUCUGAAGCGUGUUUCGCUAGUCUGAUGAUGUAAACCGGAUUCUGGCUUGGACCUAUGAGUAUACAGCCCAUUCACUGUCGUUGACAACGCUGCUAACUCAUAUGUGCUGGUGGGAAGCUUAACGACGCCGAUAUCACCCGGUAUGGAGAUCUAGAUGUAAUAGUGUCGUUGUCAAAGUUGAGUGCAGCAAACGUUGCACGACGCGUAGUCAGGAAAACUAGAAAGAUUCCACGGUUCACCACGAUUCUUAUAUGACGACAGCAAGAGCGAGGGUUUAUUUUAGUUUCCCUUUGCGUAUAAUCUUAUAUUUACAAUUUUCUAUAAUUAUCAGUGUGUCUUUUGAAAGUUGAAAAAUUCGGCAAAGCACUUGAAGUGUAAGUGCUUUGCCGAACGAAGUUCUAUUGACCAAGGUAAUAUGGU
Long non-coding RNA from Varroa destructor (honeybee mite), 983 nucleotides. The record is from RefSeq and is a predicted model, not a curated record. NCBI's taxonomy places the organism in Eukaryota, Metazoa, Arthropoda, Arachnida, Mesostigmata, Varroidae.